AUUGAACGCUGGCGGCAGGCUUAACACAUGCAAGUCGAACGAGUGGCGGACGGGUGAGUAAUGCUUGGGAAUCUAGCUUAUGGAGGGGGAUAACUACGGGAAACUGUAGCUAAUACCGCGGACCAUAGGCUGAGCCCAAGUGGGAUUAGGUAGGUGGUGGGGUAAAGGCUCACCAAGCCGACGAUAUCUAGGUGGUCUGAGAGGAUGACCAGCCACACGGGGACUGAGACACGGCCCAGACUCCGACGGGAGGCAGCAGUGGGGAAUAUUGCGCAAUGGGGGCAACCUGACGCAGCCAUGCCGCGUGAAUGAAGAAGGCCUUCGGGUUGUAAAGUUCUUUCGGUAGCGAGGCGUUAACUACAGAAGAAGCACCGGCUAACUCCGUGCCAGCACCGCGGAAAUAC
RNAcentral lists this ribosomal RNA (404 nucleotides) under uncultured bacterium. Its description in RNAcentral is "partial 16S ribosomal RNA". It matches the Rfam family "Bacterial small subunit ribosomal RNA", at positions 29 to 526 of the family's 1533-position model. The record is from RNAcentral.